RNAcentral lists this ribosomal RNA (514 nucleotides) under uncultured bacterium. RNAcentral describes it as "partial 16S ribosomal RNA". It matches the Rfam family "Bacterial small subunit ribosomal RNA", at positions 28 to 522 of the family's 1533-position model. The record is from RNAcentral.
GAUGAACGCUGGCGGCGUGCCUAAUACAUGCAAGUCGAGCGAAUGGAUUAAGAGCUUGCUCUUAUGAAGUUAGCGGCGGACGGGUGAGUAACGCGUGGGUAACCUGCCCAUGAGACUGGUAUAACUCCGGGAAACCGGGGCAAAUACCGGAUAACAUUUUGCACCGCAUGGGUCGAAAUUGAAGGGCGGUUUCGGCUGUCAAUUAUGGAUAUACACGCGUCGCAUUAGCUAGUUGGUGAGGUAACGGCUCACCAAGGCAACGAUGCGGAGCCGACCUGAGAGGGUGCUCGGCCACACUGGGACUGAGACACGGCCCAGACUCCUACGGGAGGCAGCAGUAGGGAAUCUUCCGCAAUGGACGAAAGUCUGACGGAGCAACGCCGCGUGAGUGAUGAAGGCUUUCGGGUCGUAAAACUCUGUUGUUAGGGAAGAACAAGUGCUAGUUGAAUAAGCUGGCACCUUGACGGUACCUAACCAGAAAGCCACGGCUAACUACGUGCCAGCAGCCGCGGAA